RNAcentral lists this transfer RNA (67 nucleotides) under Maoricicada iolanthe. Its description in RNAcentral is "tRNA-Ser". Lineage: Eukaryota; Metazoa; Arthropoda; Insecta; Hemiptera; Cicadidae. The record is from RNAcentral.
AAGGAAACUAGAAAUAGAAUUAGCUUCUAACUAAAUUUUAAAGCGGUUAAACUCCGUUUUUUCCUUA